This 492-nucleotide ribosomal RNA is filed under the name uncultured bacterium. Its description in RNAcentral is "partial 16S ribosomal RNA". It matches the Rfam family "Bacterial small subunit ribosomal RNA", at positions 29 to 507 of the family's 1533-position model. The record is from RNAcentral.
AGUGAACGCUGGCGGUAGGCCUAACACAUGCAAGUCGAACGGCAGCACAGUAAGAGCUUGCUCUUACGGGUGGCGAGUGGCGGACGGGUGAGGAAUACAUCGGAAUCUACUUUUUCGUGGGGGAUAACGUAGGGGAACUUACGCUAAUACCGCAUACGACCUACGGGUGAAAGCAGGGGAUCUUCGGACCUUGCGCGAUUGAAUGAGCCGAUGUCGGAUUAGCUAGUUGGCGGGGUAAAGGCCCACCAAGGCGACGAUCCGUAGCUGGUCUGAGAGGAUGAUCAGCGACACUGGAACGGAGACGGGGUCCAGAGUCCUACGGGAGGCAGCAGUGGGGAAUAUUGGGCAAUGGGCGCAAGCCUGAUCCAGCCAUACCGCGUGUGUGAAGAAGGCGUUCGGGUUGUAAAGCCCUUUUGUUGGGAAAGAAAAGCAGCAGGUUAAUACCCCGCUGUUCUGACGGUACCCAAAGAAUAAGCACCGGCUAACUUCGUG